GUUUGACCUCAAAUCAGGUAGGAAUACCCGCUGAACUUAAGCAUAUCAAUAAGCGGAGGAAAAGAAACCAACAGGGAUUGCCUUAGUAGCGGCGAGUGAAGCGGCAAAAGCUCAAAUUUGAAAUCUGGCACCUUCGGUGUCCGAGUUGUAAUUUGAAGAUUGUAACCUUGGGGUUGGCUCUUGUCUAUGUUUCUUGGAACAGGACGUCACAGAGGGUGAGAAUCCCGUGCGAUGAGAUGCCCAAUCCUAUGUAAAGUGCUUUCGAAGAGUCGAGUUGUGGGG
This 282-nucleotide ribosomal RNA is filed under the name Meyerozyma carpophila. Its description in RNAcentral is "partial 28S ribosomal RNA". It matches the Rfam family "Eukaryotic large subunit ribosomal RNA", at positions 1 to 277 of the family's 3401-position model. Lineage: Eukaryota; Fungi; Ascomycota; Pichiomycetes; Serinales; Debaryomycetaceae. The record is from RNAcentral.